AUCCUUUUGCAGAGGCAAUUUCAUAGUCUAUGAAGUGUAUCUGAGACGUGAUUAUUGCUGGUUGAAAACUUAACCCCCCCUUAUGGAUUACUUAAAAUCAAGGCCAGUUACGUCGCCCGGAUUGGCGCUACCGG
Small nuclear RNA from Siniperca chuatsi (mandarin fish), 134 nucleotides. RefSeq annotates it as U4 spliceosomal RNA. The transcript has a single exon. The record is from RefSeq and is a predicted model, not a curated record. Lineage: Eukaryota; Metazoa; Chordata; Actinopteri; Centrarchiformes; Sinipercidae.